AUCCACCUUCCGGUAACUCCGGUAUAGCCUUUCGAAAGAAAGAUUAAUCCCGGAUAGUAUGGUGAUUCCGCAUGGUUUUUCCAUUAAAGGAUUCCGGUUACCGAUGGGGAUGCGUUCCAUUAGGCAGUUGGCGGGGUAACGGCCCACCAAACCUACGAUGGAUAGGGGUUCUGAGAGGAAGGUCCCCCACAUUGGAACUGAGACACGGUCCAAACUCCUACGGGAGGCAGCAGUGAGGAAUAUUGGUCAAUGGGCGGAAGCCUGAACCAGCCAAGUAGCGUGAAGGAUGACUGCCCUAUGGGUUGUAAACUUCUUUUAUAAGGGAAUAAUUGCGGGUACGCGUACCCGUUUGCAUGUACCUUAUGAAUAAGGAUCGGCUAACUCCGUGCCAGCAGCCGCGGUAAUACGGAGGAUCCGAGCGUUAUCCGGAUUUAUUGGGUUUAAAGGGAGCGUAGGCGGGCGCUUAAGUCAGCUGUGAAAGUUUGGGGCUCAACCUUAAAAUUGCAGUUGAUACUGGGUGCCUUGAGUGCAGUAUAGGCAGGCGGAAUUCGUGGUGUAGCGGUGAAAUGCUUAGAUAUCACGAAGAACUCCUAUUGCGAAGGCAGCUUGCUGGAGUGUAACUGACGCUGAUGCUCGAAAGUGUGGGUAUCAAACAGGAUUAGAUACCCUGGUAGUCCACACAGUAAACGAUGAAUACUCGCUGUUUGCGAUAUACUGCAAGCGGCCAAGCGAAAGCGUUAAGUAUUCCACCUGGGGAGUACGCCGGCAACGGUGAAAC
This 778-nucleotide ribosomal RNA is filed under the name uncultured Prevotella sp. Its description in RNAcentral is "bacterial SSU rRNA". It matches the Rfam family "Bacterial small subunit ribosomal RNA", at positions 119 to 900 of the family's 1533-position model. Lineage: Bacteria; Pseudomonadati; Bacteroidota; Bacteroidia; Bacteroidales; Prevotellaceae. The record is from RNAcentral.